RNAcentral lists this ribosomal RNA (405 nucleotides) under Triticum aestivum (bread wheat). RNAcentral describes it as "partial small subunit ribosomal RNA". The record is from RNAcentral. Lineage: Eukaryota; Viridiplantae; Streptophyta; Magnoliopsida; Poales; Poaceae.
AUGGAUCUUCUCCAGUUUGUGCUCAACUUUAAAGGCACACCACCAUGGCUGGACUCGACGGCCAUUACCGCCCAUACGGACUGUUGGAGGCCGGAGACGCACUCUUUUCACCUUGCUCUUGGUGAGAUGACCGUCACUUUGGAGGAUAUUGCGAUGAUCUCCGGUCUUCCCAUCGAGGGCAGGGCUCUUACCGGGAAGGUGAAGUCUGAGAGGUGGCGACAAAGGGUUGCAGGUUUGGUUGGUGUUGAACCUCCCCCGUGGAUUCAUGAAACAAAGAAGGAUCCUAGGCCAUCUGGUGUUUUCUUCUCGUGGCUACAAGAACAUUUUUACGAGUGCCCAGAGAGUGCCAGUCUGACUGUUGUGGAGAGGUACGCCAGGGCUAACUUAUGGAAUCUUUUGACCCAA